UAAUUUUGCUUCUCUGAGUCUCUCUAUCUUUCAAAAAUGAAAUCAAUUCUUCCUUUUAAGGGGUGUUGUUAUUUAUGCAUGUAUAUGCCUUUUUUACUCUAUUAGCUUUUUCAUAUACUCUAUGAGCUGAGCUCCUUGCAUAAAAAUGGUAACUUUAUCCUCCCACAUAGUUGACUGGAUUUUGUUGUGGCAGUAAAAAAUGUUGUCAGCAAUUUAGCAUCUCACUUUAAGGAAAAGUUAAGAUUCUUCCUAACUCCUAUCGUUCCAAUUGGUCAUUUGUCAUGCUGAUGUUAGCUAGUGGAAUUCUGUGUCUCCAAUGGAUUCGUCCAACAUCUAUUUGAUUUUGAUGGACUAUGGCAUCUCUGAAGCCAAUCAUUUUGUCAUUUAAUAGUAUCUUUGUGGAUUUCUGCACUGAUGCUGUGCCCAUUUCAACUGGACCACAUCUGUUUCUCAGUUUCCUGCAUCUUUAAUGGAUUCUCCAGGCGCUUUAUCAUCAGCUGGAUGAUGUGCAUCCAAUGAGGAAGAUGAUGCUUCACAGGAAACGGUGAAGCACAUGCCCCUGAUUUCUUCUGCAAAGCAUGGGAUCCCAGACACUGAAAAGUUGAUGAAUAAAGAUUUCUUCUCAGGAGAAGUCGUGGAUGGUGAUACGAUCCCACAUCGGUUUCACACGAAAGUGUGGAAUAGCAUAUAAUAGGGAGUCAACCCUUUACUUUUGACCAUGGUUUUGGAUUAAGUUAGGGCUUCCUAUCUUAUAUGCUUAUCAAUUUGGUGCGGUGAACGUGGAUCUGGAUGUCCUACGGAAAGGGGCUACCCGUAGGUGUGACCAAAGGGGUGCCACCGAAAAAUGUGGGCCCGUGGCUUUGGGUUUGCCACCCGGCGUGUGCCGUCCGUGGACGUCCGGUUUAAAAGAGGGAUGGAUUGAUACGAUCCCACAUCGGUUUCACACGAAAGUGUGGAAUAGCAUAUAAUAGGGAGUCAACCCUUUACCUUUGACCAUGGUUUUGGGUUAAGUUAGGGCUUCCUAUCUUAUAUGCUUAUCAGAUGGUGUUUCUUGUCAAUCAGUAAACAACUAUACAUCAUUUGGAUCUAAUGUGGAACCAUUAUUACACAAAUUGCAGCCAUCAAUCACUACUCCAAGCACAUGGCAUUUAUUGGGAUCAAAUGCAAGUAUUGAUGCUUUAGAAAUUCCUGAUGAGGUUGAUAAUUCGGAUAAAGGCGCAUUACAAUCUGGCACUAGCAUACUGAAAACUUCGACAGCCUUGAAAGAAAAAUCUUCUGUUGCAGUUACUCCACUUCCUUUGGACAGACACUACUGAGUACACAUUGGACUAGAAACCUACUACCAGCAUAUCCUAGUUCACAAGUGCCUUCAGGGUGUAUUGUUGCUUCGGGAGAUGGGUUCCAGUCCGAAUCCGAAAAGGAAACAAGCGAACUUGUCUUCAUUGUUGCUGAUGCAGAGUAGUUUUUGAUAAGGAAAAGUGGUCCAGUCUGAAUCCAGGGACCUAAUCACAUUCAUCUCCACCAUUGCUGAUGCAGUCUGAAUCAAUGAAAGGAACUGAAUGCAUCGCCGUCUCCAACCUCGCUGACGAACUUUGUGCGGCAUUCUUUAGUUUCUCAUUUCUGGCAUCAUACCUUUCUCACGAUAAACCCUUAUGCUUGUGUUUUCAUGGCUAGACAGCGAUGUCAAAUGUGUUGCCUACAUGAUAUACUUGAAAAAAAAAAUCAUUUUAUGUACCUUGCUUGUCUUCGAUUAGUAGGCUUUUAUGAUGAGCUUUUUCAGGUUACGGUAUCUUUAGGUUGAAGAAAUGGCCAAACAACUUGAUAAUCUGCUUGAAGGCAAUGAAGGAAAGGGUUGGCUUCAGGAUGCAUCCAUAAUUCUCAUACAGAAAUGAAGGGAUAUGAGCUCUUUCCGGAAAAUGUGGAAUGUGGAUGGUUUGUUCUCCUUCUCGUGACUCUUUCAGUCUUUCCUGUAAUAAAAUGUGUAGCUGAAGGGAUAGGGGUUAUUGAAUUUAGAAACUUGGGGAAACUCAAGUUUUGCUUGAUAAAACAGUAGAAGGUUUGAUCUUGCUUUUGAUAAAGUUUGCAGUGCAAAGUUAAUGUUGCAUAUGCGGCACAAAAUGGAGUAAAGGUUAAUUUUGGUCCUAAACAUACGACCAAAAUACAAAUUUGGUCCAAAACUGUAACACCCGGACUUUUUCCAUUUUUUUUUCAAGUGUUCUUGAAAGAACAUCGAAUAUUAAAGUCAAUUCUCGCCUUUGUAUUUUCGAGUCGAUAGAAGGAAAAUAUAUACAAAAUUGGGCCAAGCAAUUAUUCUUUUCCAAGCCCAAAUUAUUCA
Non-coding RNA from Salvia hispanica, 2335 nucleotides. The record is from RefSeq and is a predicted model, not a curated record. Lineage: Eukaryota; Viridiplantae; Streptophyta; Magnoliopsida; Lamiales; Lamiaceae.